RNAcentral lists this ribosomal RNA (497 nucleotides) under uncultured bacterium. RNAcentral describes it as "partial 16S ribosomal RNA". It matches the Rfam family "Bacterial small subunit ribosomal RNA", at positions 28 to 507 of the family's 1533-position model. The record is from RNAcentral.
GAUGAACGCUGGCGGCGUGCCUAAUACAUGCAAGUCGAGCGAACAGAUGAGGAGCUUGCUCCUCUGACGUUAGCGGCGGACGGGUGAGUAACACGUGGAUCACCUACCUAUAAGACUGGGAUAACUUCGGGAAACCGGAGCUAAUACCGGAUAAUAUAUUGAACCGCAUGGUUCAAUAGUGAAAGACGGUUUUGCUGUCACUUAUAGAUGGAUCCGCGCCGCAUUAGCUAGUUGGUAAGGUAACGGCUUACCAAGGCAACGAUGCGUAGCCGACCUGAGAGGGUGAUCGGCCACACUGGAACUGAGACACGGUCCAGACUCCUACGGGAGGCAGCAGUAGGGAAUCUUCCGCAAUGGGCGAAAGCCUGACGGAGCAACGCCGCGUGAGUGAUGAAGAUCUUCGGAUCGUAAAACUCUGUUAUUAGGGAAGAACAAAUGUGUAAGUAACUAUGCACGUCUUGACGGUACCUAAUCAGAAAGCCACGGCUAACUACGUG